RNAcentral lists this ribosomal RNA (313 nucleotides) under uncultured bacterium. Its description in RNAcentral is "bacterial SSU rRNA". It matches the Rfam family "Bacterial small subunit ribosomal RNA", at positions 21 to 353 of the family's 1533-position model. The record is from RNAcentral.
GGCUCAGAACGAACGCUGGCGGCAUGCCUAACACAUGCAAGUCGAACGCCUUGAGCAAUCGGGGCGUGGCGCACGGGUGAGUAACGCGUGGGAACCUGCCCUGGAGUGGGGGAUAACCCGGCGAAAGCCGGGCUAAUACCGCAUACGCCCCCGAGUAACAUCGGGGGGAAAGAUUUAUCGCUCCUGGAGGGGCCCGCGUGGGAUUAGCUAGUUGGUGAGGUAACGGCUCACCAAGGCGGUGAUCCCUAGCUGGUCUGAGAGGAUGAUCAGCCACACUGGGACUGAGACACGGCCCAGAGAAAUACGGGAGGCA